This 319-nucleotide ribosomal RNA is filed under the name uncultured bacterium. Its description in RNAcentral is "bacterial SSU rRNA". It matches the Rfam family "Bacterial small subunit ribosomal RNA", at positions 28 to 334 of the family's 1533-position model. The record is from RNAcentral.
GAUGAACGCUGGCGGCGUGCCUAACACAUGCAAGUCGAACGGGCAUGCGCAUGAAACCUAGUGAUUGCGCAUGCGAGUGGCGGACGGGUGAGUAACGCGUGGACAACCUGCCGCAUGCAGGGGGAUACCGGCUGGAAACAGCCGCUAAUACCGCAUAUGCGCACGGCGCCGCAUGGCGCAGUGCGGAAAGGGAGCGAUCCCGGCAUGCGAUGGGUCCGCGUCCGAUUAGCUUGUUGGCGGGGCAGCGGCCCACCAAGGCGACGAUCGGUAGCCGGCCUGAGAGGGCGGACGGCCACAUUGGGACUGAGACACGGCCCAG